UACGAAGGGUGCAACCGUUGCUCGGAAUUAUUGGGCGUAAAGCGCACGUAGGCGGCUUAGCAAGUCGGAAGUGAAAUCCCACGGCUCAACCAUGGAAGUGCUUUCGAAACUGCUGAGCUUGAGUACGAAAGAGGAUCGCGGAAUUCCCGGUGUAGAGGUGAAAUUCGUAGAUAUCGGGAGGAACACCAGUGGCGAAGGCGGCGAUCUGGGUCGAUACUGACGCUGAGGUGCGAAAGCGUGGGGAGCAAACAGG
This 253-nucleotide ribosomal RNA is filed under the name uncultured bacterium. RNAcentral describes it as "partial 16S ribosomal RNA". It matches the Rfam family "Bacterial small subunit ribosomal RNA", at positions 524 to 776 of the family's 1533-position model. The record is from RNAcentral.